UCAGAUUGCAGGCUGCAACUCGCCUGCAUGAAGUUGGAAUUGCUAGUAAUCGCGAAUCAGAAUGUCGCGGUGAAUACGUUCCCGGGCCUUGUACACACCGCCCGUCACACCAUGAGAGUCGAUAACACCCGAAGCCUGUGAGCUAACCGUAAGGAGGCAGCAGUCGAAGGUGGGGUUGAUGAUUGGGGUGAAGUCGUAACAAGGUAUC
RNAcentral lists this ribosomal RNA (208 nucleotides) under uncultured bacterium. Its description in RNAcentral is "partial 16S ribosomal RNA". It matches the Rfam family "Bacterial small subunit ribosomal RNA", at positions 1293 to 1500 of the family's 1533-position model. The record is from RNAcentral.